UAAGAUAGAAUAUGAAAGAUCAAGAAGUUAUAUAGAUUACAAGGUAUAUUUUUAAAGCCUACUUUAGUGCCUUUUAUAUUACAAAGUCCUUUAUUUUUCUUAUCUACCAGUCAGCCUUUCUAAGACAUGACUCAAAGUUUCUUUUGCAACAAGGUUUUCCAUUAUUCACUACAAACCACUCCAAUCAGUACUUAAGAUACUCAAUUUGCCCAUAAUUACUUGGCUUUUAUUAAAGAUGAAAUAAAGUUAAUUAUUUAAAAUAUAUCAGAACCUUUUAAUGAAUCAGUUUGUUUUUCUCUCCACUGGGGGGAUGUGCUUCUACUAUAUUUUCCAGAAUAUCUGAUAAUUAACAUGCUUUUCUUCAAGUCGGUGGGCAAGAGGCCUCUGUCUGGUGACGAUCUGAAGAUAUGAUAAUGCUGGCAGUUUGGACAGAAGUUGCUAGAAAUAAUGUAGGAACCAUGGAAAAUACUGCUGCUAAAUGCUGUUAUGGAAAGUCGUCAUAUUCGGUAUGAUUUUUAAAUUUCAUACAACACUCAGAAGUCAUAUGUUUGAGCUACUCUGUGACAUUUAAUCAUUAAUAGAAGAUUUGGGGUAUACACUACAGAUGGGCCCUGUUUGCUGAAAUGUUGGGGCCAAACAACUUGAUAGAGCCUAUGAUGUUCCUUUCAAGCUUUCUAAAGUUUCCACCAACCUCAGAUGAAAAUGUAACUGUGAGAAGUAAAUUUAACAACAUUGUUGUCUGCAUAUGUGUGCCAAAAUGGAAGACAGAAUCAUGAAAAAGAAGCUUAUUUUAUAACCAUGGUGGUGGCUCAUGUUUGAGUAGUAAUGACCUAAGCCCCAAAGGCCAAAAGUAAAACCUCCUACCCCAAACCCGCCUGUAACUGUCUGACCAGUUCCCGGAUGCAGUCAAGACGUCUACCUUACACAACAGAACUGGCAAGAAAAACAUCCCCAGGAAGCGGUCAGACACCUGGCACAAAGGACCCUACAACUCUUUUCUUUUUCCUUCACCUUGACCCAGUUCUACACCCUAUAAAACCUUGCUAUAGCCUGUAAGCGGGGCUGCCUCCUCUGCUUUUGUCAGGAGGUAGCCCGGCAGGACUGACAAUAAAUCAGCUUGC
This 1121-nucleotide long non-coding RNA is filed under the name Homo sapiens (human). RNAcentral's name for it is "HSALNT0315376". The record is from RNAcentral. Lineage: Eukaryota; Metazoa; Chordata; Mammalia; Primates; Hominidae.